CGAACGCUGGCGGCGUGCUUAACACAUGCAAGUCGAACGCGAAAGGGACUUCGGUCCUGAGUAAAGUGGCGGCACGGGUGAGUAACGCGUAGAUAACCUGUCUUCAUGUCUGGAAUAAUACGCCGAAAGGGGUACUAAUACCGGAUAUUCUUGCUUUUCAUAAGUUAUGCAAGCAAAGGUGGCCUCUGCAUAUGCUACUGCAUGAAGAGGGGUCUGCGUACCAUUAGCUAGUAGGUGGGGUAAUGGCCUACCUAGGCGACGAUGGUUAGCGGGUCUGAGAGGAUGAUCCGCCACACUGGCACUGGAACACGGGCCAGACUCCUACGGGAGGCAGCAGUGAGGAAUAUUGCGCAAUGGGGGAAACCCUGACGCAGCGACGCCGCGUGAGUGAGGAAGGCCUUCGGGUCGUAAAGCUCUGUCAAGAGGAAAGAAGUGUACAAUGGCUAAUACCUGUUGUAUUUGACGGUACCUCUAAAGGAAGCACCGGCUAACUCCGUGCCAGCCGCCGC
This 509-nucleotide ribosomal RNA is filed under the name uncultured bacterium. Its description in RNAcentral is "bacterial SSU rRNA". It matches the Rfam family "Bacterial small subunit ribosomal RNA", at positions 30 to 518 of the family's 1533-position model. The record is from RNAcentral.